This is a non-coding RNA of Lolium perenne, 3053 nucleotides long. The record is from RefSeq and is a predicted model, not a curated record. Lineage: Eukaryota; Viridiplantae; Streptophyta; Magnoliopsida; Poales; Poaceae.
UAGGCCUCACCACAGUGAUUCUAGGUCGUCAGCCGUCCGAUCUUGCUACCAGACGUCUCAGAUCGUCGCUCGUCCCACUCCGCUUCGCUAAAACUUCUUACCCGUCCAAUUAUGCAUUCCUCCUCUGGCUCCCCAUUAUCGGGCUUCUACUCCAGAGAUGGAUCUGGAGGUCUUCUCGUGAACUGGGCCGAUUGAUCCUGAAUCUGCUAAUUUGCUUCAUGGGCCACUGCUCCAAUAAGUGGGUUUUAGACCUCCCGUUCACCUUCUUUUCAUGUUAUUACGGCAUCGUUGUCUCCUUCCCUGCAUCUCUUCCUUCGUUUCAGAGCGACGAAUGGUCUGACUGAUAACGACGGAGUAAUGACGAGGAAGGUCAGCGGUCUCCCUUCCGUUACUGUUUCUCGGAGUUGAGGAACUCAGGAAUUGUUGGGUUCACAAGUGCGAAUUGCUCUACUGGGCUGGAUUCUGUGGCAGGAUGUAAGGUGAUGUGUUCGCUUGAUUCCUCUUAUGCGGUUUCUGACAUAGAUUUGUCUCCAAAAUCCAAUUGAUUUCGAUCCGCUUUGCUCUCUUUUUUCUCUCUCAGUAUGUAGGCCUCCUUGAGAAGUUGAUGCAGGCGAAGCGUCAAAUCCAGUCUGCCAUGUCGCCACGAUGAAGGAGGCCGCUAUGUAGACAAGCAUCGGAGAUGUUCGACCUCCGACGCAAUGCCACGCAGAGGGCAAUUGUACAACAUGUGGAAAUUCCUUUAGAACGUUGGAAGAGAUCGACUGUGGGUUAGGAGAGAAUUUUCUGCAGUACAAAGUAAUUAAGAAGGUUCAUCACUUGCGAAACAGAGACAUGUUGUCCCAGAAGAUGACCAACUAAUCCAAUCAAAAUGGUGUAUAAUAUAAACCUCCUUUGAAUAGGUUGUGUUUUUUCCUGUAUUUGCUCUUGUUGUGUGAAAAGUUGGAAGAAACCUUGCUAAUAUUUAAGAUUGUUUGCUUGGUUCACUGAAUUAUGUGCUACCCCUGUAGUGAAGUUAAGUAUUAUUUUACUAAAGUACUAUGAUUGAUGGAUAACAGUGAUAUGGUUAUGGUGCCCAUAGACUUCAUGUACCCGUUUGCAGAAAGUGCAUCCUGCACUGUACCGAAGAUACUAAAGAGGAAACGGCCGGAGACAAGAACUGAGUGCAUGAACAUCAAAGACUAAAGAGGAAACGGUCGGAGAAAACAAUUCAGAUCAUGUAGGUAGUAGGUCUCGAAGGCUGCUUUCUUGUUGCCUUGAGCAAAACUUGCAUGGUCGGAUGCAUCACGAGAGUUGUCGAAGUGUGUUGGUUGAUCGCAAAGUUGGCUUACUUCGUUGCCUAUGUUUCUUAUGUUUAUCGCUGCUAGCUAUUAGAGCUUCUGAAAUGGUAAAUUUGUUUCCUUGCUAAGUACCUCAAGAAUAGAGCUGUAGUGAUAUUUACUCCUUUUAAAAUGGCACAAUGCAUAAACCAUAAGAUGGAAGUUGAACAAUCAAAAUUGUACGUCAGAGCAAAAUUUACAUUUUCUAUGUUAUAAUUUUUUUACUUGUUUCCUCCUGUUUUGGGCUACUCCCUUUGCAGAUUUAAGAACUAACAUAAGUAAUGCUAUUGGUGGUAAUAUUCCUAGAUCUAUGGUGGCUUCCCUAAUUGAUGUAGCCAUUUUGCAGAGAGUGCAUGGUGCGCUGUUCUAAAGAUACUACACGGGGAAAAGUCAACAUCCAGUACCAAACCAAAUCUGGCCAUGAAGAAUUCAGUAGGAAGCAACCCUUUGGUAGAUAACACAACCCUUUGGUGGAUGUCACAGUCAGCAAAUCAAUCCUCUGUUCUUGUUAAGUCCCACACAAUUUGGAGCAAGUGCCAAUUGCAAAAGGGAACAUACUGCAGUAGCAACAGUGCACUUCUUCGUUUUCCCUCCUCAAGUAUAGUUUUGAUUCAUCAAUAUAGUUCCCUAUUGGUUUGUGAUGUGAUUAGUAGCAUGAAUAUUUAACUUGUUAAUAAAUUUGUCCAGUUUCUGAUAAGCUUAAUGUGCACAUGCUGGUGUUCACUUAAAUUAAGAGGACACUCGAUUUGCUACGGCCACUAAAUUCUAAGCAAUACUCUAGGUGUGUUUCUUAUCCUUCUGUUGUGUUGUGCAUAAGGAUAAAUAUCACGAUGCAACCUUUCGGUCCCAAGAAAGACACACAACUCUACAAUUUUAAAAUUUUAGCAUUAGAAUGAUUGUAGUGAAAAUAUUUCUGAAUGAACUCAGGGAAUCAAUGGCUUGGAAAGAUAUUAAGAAGCCAUCUUAGAGAAGACUAAUUGACUACGAAUACACAAAUUUAUUUAUUUUCUAUUCAGGGAAACUAAUCCAGAUGCCAAGACCGUAUUUAGUAUUUUGUGAUUACCCGCUUUCUUCUGAACAAUAGUUAUAUAUUGUCUUGCAUCGCAAGUCAGUGGUUACCUUUUUAGCCUUUUUAAAAGAUUGUUUCCCUUUUAAGAACUGGUGAAAUACUAAAAUUAGUGCACUUCAGCGCAUAUAUAUUUAAGUACUAUAAUCUGUAAUAUUAACUACUUCAGCACGCCCCAGGUAUACUACCCAUGAUUCUACAUAGAGAAGUAGUCUAACCAUUUUUGCAGCUGUCCAGGUGUUAUCUAGGUUUCGCGGGCAACAAUAGGCAGAGGCUUGGGCCGAACUGUUUUCAUGUAGAGGCGAGAUACAGUUUGUGUUGCUGAUGAGUAGCUGUUUGCACCCUCAUUGAGAAUUUAAAGAAUAGAUUUGGGAAGCGGUUAUGGAGCAAUAGCUCUAUUUCAGACCAUUCAUUGAUUGUGUAUGAGCAUAUUCAAAGUCAGCAAGAACAAGCUUCUUAGAGAUAUUUUAUUCAUUAUUAUGUAGUACUACCGUGUUUUCAGGAUGAACUUUGAAUAGACCAUUGUCUUCUUGAAUUGAUAAACAUAUAGCUCUCCUCACUGUAUGCAUCAUUGUCCAUGUAUGCCAGGUCCCAUUAGAGGUAGGAAAAAUAUGCUUGUAAAGGAGUGCUUUGGUAUUUUAUUGAAUGGGAGUACACUUGGGUAGUUUAGA